RNAcentral lists this ribosomal RNA (466 nucleotides) under uncultured bacterium. Its description in RNAcentral is "bacterial SSU rRNA". It matches the Rfam family "Bacterial small subunit ribosomal RNA", at positions 330 to 794 of the family's 1533-position model. The record is from RNAcentral.
UCCAGACUCCUACGGGAGGCAGCAGUGAGGAAUAUUGGUCAAUGGGCGCGAGCCUGAACCAGCCAAGUCGCGUGAGGGAAGACGGUCCUAUGGAUUGUAAACCUCUUUUGUCGGGGAGCAAAAGACGCCACGUGUGGCGUUCCGAGAGUACCCGAAGAAAAAGCAUCGGCUAACUCCGUGCCAGCAGCCGCGGUAAUACGGAGGAUGCGAGCGUUAUCCGGAUUUAUUGGGUUUAAAGGGUGCGCAGGCGGAAGAUCAAGUCAGCGGUAAAAUUUCGGGGCUCAACCCCGUCGUGCCGUUGAAACUGGCAGUCUCGAGUUGGAGAGAAGUAUGCGGAAUGCGCGGUGUAGCGGUGAAAUGCAUAGAUAUCGCGCAGAACUCCGAUUGCGAAGGCAGCAUGCCGGCGCCACACUGACGCUGAGGCACGAAGGCGUGGGUAUCGAACAGGAUUAGAUACCCGUGUAGG